RNAcentral lists this ribosomal RNA (196 nucleotides) under Aeromonas hydrophila. RNAcentral's name for it is "partial 16S ribosomal RNA". It matches the Rfam family "Bacterial small subunit ribosomal RNA", at positions 1 to 188 of the family's 1533-position model. RNAcentral also lists the same sequence under 1 other name. The record is from RNAcentral. Lineage: Bacteria; Pseudomonadati; Pseudomonadota; Gammaproteobacteria; Aeromonadales; Aeromonadaceae.
AAAUUGAAGAGUUUGAUCAUGGCUCAGAUUGAACGCUGGCGGCAGGCCUAACACAUGCAAGUCGAGCGGCAGCGGGAAAGUAGCUUGCUACUUUUGCCGGCGAGCGGCGGACGGGUGAGUAAUGCCUGGGAAAUUGCCCAGUCGAGGGGGAUAACAGUUGGAAACGACUGCUAAUACCGCAUACGCCCUACGGGGG